RNAcentral lists this ribosomal RNA (406 nucleotides) under uncultured bacterium. RNAcentral's name for it is "partial 16S ribosomal RNA". It matches the Rfam family "Bacterial small subunit ribosomal RNA", at positions 30 to 526 of the family's 1533-position model. The record is from RNAcentral.
AUUGAACGCUGGCGGCAUGCCUUACACAUGCAAGUCGGACGAGUGGCGAACGGGUGAGUAAUAUAUUGGAACGUACCGAGUAAUGGGGGAUAACCAAUCGAAAGAUUGGCUAAUACCGCAUAUUAUUCGUGCGGCCAAUAUCUGAUUAGCUAGUUGGUGGGGUAAAGGCCUACCAAGGCGACGAUCAGUAGCGGGUCUGAGAGGAUGAGCCGCCCACAGGGGACUGGGACACGGCCCAGACUCCUACGGGAGGCAGAGUGGGGGAAUUUUGGACAAUGGGCGCAAGCCGGAUCCAGCCAUGCCGCGUGUCUGAAGAAGGCCUUCGGGUUGUAAAGGACUUUUGUUAGGGAGGCGGUACCUAAAGAAUAAGCACCGGCUAACUACGUGCCAGCAGCCGCGGUAAUAC